CUAAUACUCCCUCCGUCCAACAUAAGAUGUCUCACGUUUGUCAAAAUUUGGAUGUAUCUAGACUUGUGCAUUCAAAUUUAGUCAAAGUUGAGACAUCCUUUGUUGGACGGAGGGAGUAAUAU
This is a non-coding RNA of Brachypodium distachyon (stiff brome), 122 nucleotides long. The record is from Rfam. NCBI's taxonomy places the organism in Eukaryota, Viridiplantae, Streptophyta, Magnoliopsida, Poales, Poaceae.